GAAGGGAAGGCAAGGGAAGGGAAGGGAAGGCAAGGGAAGGGAAGGGAAGGAAAGGAAAAUUCCUAAAACAUGGGACUUUUGAAAAACUAGUUCAGCACAUCAGAGUUGUGUGUACGGAGACUCCUUCUUUAGCACCUUAAUCAGAAGUAUUGCCUGUAAGUUGUGUAAGAUCAUUGUCCAUCAUUCAUGCUGAUGAAUAAUUUAUUCUUAAUUUGUUAUCAUCUCAGGAGGUGUUCAAGGCAUCUACAUGAUAUGUAUUUUAUCACAGCAACCUGAAUGAAAAGUAUGUGUAUUUGUGUGCUGUUGCUCUUCCUGUCCUGCUUAUAUAACAUUUCACACUCCAUAUUUAAAAUACUACAUAUAUUAUUGUUUCUUCACUUAUACAAAUUGUUAUUUUCUGGGAUAAUUGGUCUUGCCAAAGAUAAGGCCAUCUCAUUGCAUCUGAAUCACCAAUAGCAAGAGUUGUUGCAUAUUUCUCAGGAAGUCCAUCAGUAUAAAUAUCCUCAUCAUUUUCUACUCUAUACCAAUCAUUUAAUUAGUUGUUUUUCUCUAAUUCUUUCCUUAAUUAAACUUUUCCUGGUCUUCCUUACUUCUUCAGGAGGUCUGCAGUUGAUGUGCAUUGCACUAGUGUUUUGGUAUGGUAUAUGAAGUUAUGGCCGUAGUACAAUGUAGUAUAGACAGACUUGAGUUAAAAUUAUACUUGAUCACUUUGCUUUCAGCAUCAGCCUGGAAAGAACAUUUUCAGUUCAGUAGCAGCUGUAAAUUAUGCUCCACAAAAGGGGAGGGGGGAGAGGCCUUGCACUGUAUUUUGUAUUUCAACAGCUAUCCUGUGACUGUAAAUCAAACAAUUUGACUUAAAAUUUAACAAAGUGUUCUCCCAGUACUACACUAAAGAGUCUUUUAUCCAUAAUGUUGAUGAACCUAAAAUUAAUGUUAUGAAUUCUCUUGUUCUAUUUUAAGAAUAUAUGGUUGUUACACUGAUGUCUCACAUCUGUGCAAAGAAAAUGCUGUUUCACCACCUGCAACAUCUCUCUGUAUUUGAAGAGAUGUCUGGUUUUCUGAAGUAAGCAAAGAUGUUUGAUUUUCUUUACAUUAACAUAACCUUUGUUCUUUUCUUCUCAAGCUGAGCUCCUUGCUGUACACAUGUAAAUUUUAUCUCUUCUUUACUUAGUACGAGAAUUCCCAGUCGUGGACUUCUGUAUGUCAGUGAACCAACAGGCUGUAUACUCUAUUACCAUGACAGAAAACAGUGCACUGGCAACAGCAUCACAAACACACAGAAUCCGGAGGCCUUCCAAGUGUCACUAUAGUAAAGUUUACACAGCCUUUGGACUAUACAUUAAAAGUGAGUGGAAAGGUUUCUACCAGUGUUAACUCUUCCACAUUAAAGGAAAGUACUGUGUACAUAUGGCAUAAUACUAGUAAUAGAAGACCUUGUUUCUCUUAUUGGAAAUCUUAUUUCCACCCUUUUGUUUGUGUGAGACUUUAUGGAGCAUAUUUUAUAUUCAUUAUUUUCAGAGGAAGAAGGUGAGCUACUACUUGCUCUUUUUCAAGUUAUUUGAAUGUUGAAGAGACAAAGGAAAAAUGAGCAGAAUAAUUUACCAUAUACCUGUUCACAAAAUCUCAGCAUAAUUUUAAAGUUUUAUUUUAUGACUUUUUUUUCCCUGAGAUUCUGGGUUCAUUAUCAAAGAAAAAAUGUUUACUAUUCUUAAAACCUAAUCACAGUAAUCUGCUGCAGAUAGCAUGAAGUAACUCUUUCCAGAGAUAUCCUAAUUUCCUUAUAUUGUUUUAUUUGUUUCCUAUUUAAAGAUUUUGUAUUCAGUCUACAUUUUUUGUUUAUUAUAUUAUCUUGCAACAUAUUUCUUAGUGAUAAUAUCAAUUUGAUUUAGGUAAUGUAUUACAGCUUCUCUGUUCAAAAAUGUCUUGAUGACUGACUUGACAUUUACUAUUCCUUCCCUCAAAAAAAAAUAAGAAAGCAACAAAAAGCAUCUUCAGUGCACUAUAGAUCUUUAGCUGAAUUUUGAGACAGAAUAAAUCUAUUUUUCCAUAGCAGAAAGUCUAUGUUGUAACAUAGUUUUAAUGAUAAGCAUUUCCCCAUAUUGAUCAAAAUACUUUGUUGUAGUUUAUUCUGAGAUAGUAGUUCUCCACUAAGCUGUGUUGUUUGGCAGUAAAGGACAGAAUCACCACGGUUGUGUAGUACACAUGGUUUUGGAGGGGAACACUUGAUAGAAGAUAAGGAGUUCCCUAUUUAUUUGGAAAGCUCAGUCCUUGUCCUUUCAUAACUGCUUUCACAUUGAAAUAUGUAAAGACCUGCCAUUGGAUGACUGAGACUUUACAGGUGAGUAUGAUUUCAGACAUAAUUCUAGGGAUUUAUGCUAUAUUCUAUUCAGUGAUCAUUCUGACAUAGUCAUCACAAUGUCUGUUGCUCCACCUGCAUUGCAGUCUUUCCAAAAUCAGAGGGAAAUGUGUUAAAUUUAAAUGAUAUGGAAAUAUUUUUAAAGUCUACAUAACUCAGACAGAUAUGAUAGUAUUACUUCACUUAGUAUAAAUACAAAGUCUAGAAAUUAAUGGAAAGAUUUCUGAAAAAUCCUCUGCAUAUCAUUUGAUAUAAACAUGUCUUGUCCACCCAUUUCCUAUGUUCAACAAAGCCAUGGUUCUGUUAAACAGUGAUAUGUUCUCCAUAUAUGAAACUAUUAUAUAUUAACAAUAUAAAUAAAAUACAAUAAUACAAAAUAUAUACCAGUGUAGCUACAGUUCUGUCUACUUUCUAUCUAGUAGAACUCUAGUUCUAGUAGAUAGAACUGUCUACAGUUCUAUCUACUUUCCUUUCCCCAUAUUCUCUGGUUCUUUUCUGCUUACCAUUAUCAGAAAAAAUAUUCUUCAAACUGACUGGAGUUGACAACUUUUUCUUGCUAUUAUAUUAUCUUUAAGGUUUGCUCUUGAUCCAGUCUAACAUUUUUCUCUUUGAGCAAAAAGGUAACAGUUUGAAAGAUGAGGGCAAUGUAAUAAUUGUCUUUUUCCACGUAUCUGAUAGUAUAAAGUGAGACUUUGAACUGAUUUUUGCUGUGAUGGACUUAACUUUAUUCAUAGCAGCAAAUAUGUCACUAUGCUUUUGACUUGUAGCUCGAAUAGUGUUGAUAACACACCAGUGCUUGACUACAGAUGAGUAGUGCUUGCAUGACAUCAAAGCUUCCUCUUUCCAUUCCAGAUUCCAGAAAAAUGAGUAUGUGGUGUGUGGGCGAGAGGCUGGGAGAGAACAUAGCUAAGAUAACUGACCUAAACUGUCUAAAAGGAUGCUCCAUACAAUACGACAUCAUGCUCAACAAUAAUAAGCACAAGGAAAGGAGUAGGAAAGUCGGAUAUUCAUAGCUAUAAUAUUCAUCUUCCCAAGCACCAGUCAUGAUAAGGUCCUGUGUCCCAGGAAGUCUGAAAAUCUACAUGUUGAUGGGAAGCACCAACUGAAUAUUGCUUUUUGCUUUUCUCAUAGACUGGAGUAAGCAAGAGGCAAAGAUGAGUCUGUCCAAUGACCAGUGUCAACCCAUGACAGACUUCAAAUGGAUAUAAGUGUGGAAGUUCGUAUUUGAAGAUACAUAUGGAUUUGUUUACAUAUAUAGAAUUGUGUUGAGUUCUGUUAAUUGCACAGUUUUUUUCAGUGGAACACAGUGGUAUAUCCUGAAGCAAAUCAUACUGCAAAUUAAAAUGCACAGAGAUCAGAUCCUAUUUUUUCAUUAUGGAAAAAAAAAAUAAUUUACAGUCAUUUCUUUUCUGCAUGAAAAAUCCAAGACCUGAAAAAGGCACUUGUUCACACUAUGGUUGGGAGGUUUUGAACAGCAUAUUUUAAGCAGCUAAAGCAGCCUUCCAUGUCUUUUGGAAAUAGAAAUCCAAUGAAAUUUUCCUAUAGGAGAUAUCGUCAAAUCAAAAGUAGGAGAUUAACAAAUUAAACAAGUCAAAGAAGACCUGAACAAUCAGACCACGCACUCUAACCAUCAACAAAAUUCUGAGUGCAUAUGUAUGUCUCAAAAUAUAUAUGCAUACAUAUAUGCAUUUACUAUACUACCAAGAAAGUUUCUUGGUAGUUCUUUCGGGUUAAUAAAAUCGGGUUAAUAAAAUAAAAUCUGUGGGAAAGGUGAAAUCUGUGUGAUGUAUCUGUCAAAAUAUUCAUUACAAAUAAAAUUCUUUAUACUUUUUAA
Gallus gallus (chicken) is the source of this 4190-nucleotide long non-coding RNA. RefSeq lists it as uncharacterized. NCBI's taxonomy places the organism in Eukaryota, Metazoa, Chordata, Aves, Galliformes, Phasianidae. The transcript has 2 exons. The record is from RefSeq and is a predicted model, not a curated record.